AUGACUAGAAUGGAAGAGCUGAGCAGUGAGCAGGAGGAGCUGAGCCUGGAGCUCACCCUCCGCCCAAUGGCGCCGGAGGCCCGCGUCGGCUUCUUCCUCUGCGUGUACUGCAACCGCAAGUUCAUCACCUCGCAGGCGCUCGGCGGCCACCAGAACGCGCAUAAGCACGAGCGCAGCGUCGCCAGACGCUGCCGUCGGCAGACCGCCGCCACUGGGGAGGGUUUACCGGCUGCGACGCAGGACGAGAGUCUGCCCUGGCCCAGGUACGGCACCGUUCUCGUGUCUGCAGCUGGGACGGCUGCUGCUGCUGGCAAGGCGCACAAGCACGGCAGGAGCCGGUCGGAGCACGGCACCGUGGACGACGUCGACUUGUCUCUCCGUCUAUGA
RNAcentral lists this ribosomal RNA (387 nucleotides) under Triticum aestivum (bread wheat). Its description in RNAcentral is "partial small subunit ribosomal RNA". Lineage: Eukaryota; Viridiplantae; Streptophyta; Magnoliopsida; Poales; Poaceae. The record is from RNAcentral.